GAAGGCUCCUGCAUGGCAGCGCUGACAGUGACACUGAUGGUGCUGAGCUUCCCACUGGCUUUGGCUGGGGACACCCCAUUUCUUGGAGCAGAUUAAACACGAGUGCUAUUUCUGCAAUGGGACAGAGCGGAUGCGGUUUGUGCAGAGACUCGUCCACACCGGAAGGAGUAUGCGCGCUUCCAUAGGGACGUCAGAAAGUUCCGGGCGGUGGCGGAGCUGGAGCGGAGAAGAGUCCAGGAAUGCAAACAGCCAGAAGAACCUCUUGGGCUGCUUGCGGGGUCUGUUGGACACCUACUGCAGACACAACUACGGGGUUUUUGAGAGCUUCUCCAUGCACAGGCGA
RNAcentral lists this long non-coding RNA (343 nucleotides) under Homo sapiens (human). Its description in RNAcentral is "long non-coding RNA NONHSAT117480.2". The record is from RNAcentral. Lineage: Eukaryota; Metazoa; Chordata; Mammalia; Primates; Hominidae.